This 456-nucleotide ribosomal RNA is filed under the name uncultured bacterium. RNAcentral's name for it is "bacterial SSU rRNA". It matches the Rfam family "Bacterial small subunit ribosomal RNA", at positions 8 to 466 of the family's 1533-position model. The record is from RNAcentral.
AGAGUUUGAUCAUGGCUCAGAUUGAACGCUGGCGGUAUGCCUAACACAUGCAAGUCGAACGCGAAAGCACCUUCGGGUGUAAGUAGAGUGGCGGACGGGUGAGUAAGGCAUGGGAAUCUGCCCUAUAGCGGGGGAUAACUUGGGGAAACCCAAGCUAAUACCGCAUACACCUACGGGUAAAAGAUGGCCUCUUCUUGAAAGCUAUUACUAUAGGAUGAGCCCAUGUAAGAUUAGCUAGUUGGUAGGGUAAAAGCCUACCAAGGCUACGAUCUUUAGCUGGUCUGAGAGGACGAUCAGCCACACUGGGACUGAGACACGGCCCAGACUCCUACGGGAGGCAGCAGUGGGGAAUAUUGGACAAUGGGGGCAACCCUGAUCCAGCAAUACCGCGUGUGUGAAGAAGGCCUGCGGGUUGUAAAGCACUUUUAUCUGUGAGGAAGGGUUUAAUGUUAAUAC